UACGGAGGUAGCAAGCGUUACUCGGAUUCAUUGGGUGUAAAGGGCAGGUAGGUGGUCUUGAAAGUCGAAUGUGAAAUCUUCUCGCUUAACGAGAAAACUGCAUUCGAAACUUCGAGGCUUGAGGCUGGAAGAAGAGAAUGGAAUUCCCGGUGUAAGGGUGAAAUCUGUAGAUAUCGGGAGGAACACCAGUAGCGAAAGCGAUUCUCUAGGCCAGUCCUGACACUGAGCUGCGAAAGCUAGGGGAGCAAACAGG
RNAcentral lists this ribosomal RNA (253 nucleotides) under uncultured bacterium. RNAcentral describes it as "partial 16S ribosomal RNA". It matches the Rfam family "Bacterial small subunit ribosomal RNA", at positions 524 to 776 of the family's 1533-position model. The record is from RNAcentral.